This is a long non-coding RNA of Canis lupus familiaris (dog), 799 nucleotides long. RefSeq lists it as uncharacterized. The record is from RefSeq and is a predicted model, not a curated record. The transcript has 3 exons. NCBI's taxonomy places the organism in Eukaryota, Metazoa, Chordata, Mammalia, Carnivora, Canidae.
AACGCGCUAAGCACCGGGCAGGCCUCACCUGCAGCAGGACACACGGCGGCUGAGAAACGUAGCGUGUGUGCGCUGAGUGUUUUAUCUGGUGCCUCGGUGGAAAUCAUCCCAGGGCUGAUGGAAGUGACUGAUGCUUUGCGCUGGUGGCGGUUGAGGUUCAUGGACUGCCGGCGGAAACGGGCGCCUUGACUGCUAUCUGAUGAUAUCAAGACAUCAUUAUUUUUGAGGAUAGGGAAACUGAGGCACAACGCGGUUGAGCCCUUCGUGCAAGGUCAGAGAGUCGCAGAGGCAGGCCCGGGCCCAGCAGCCGAUUCAUGAGGCCACACACGGCGGCUCCCGGUGCACCUGCCACGGGGACACGCACCAAACCACCGUGAGUCCGGCCUCGAUGCCUGCCGGGGGCUCGGCCGGCCGUGCAGCCCUGAGCCAGUCGCCUGCCCUCUCUGAAUUUGAAAUCAGCAUUUAUCCUACCUCCAGGUUCAGAGAGAUAGAGGCAGAGAGCCCAAGCGGAGGGAAUGGCAGGGGCAGAGGGAGAAGCCGGCUCCCCGCUGAGCAGGAAGCCCGAGGCGGGACUUGAUCCCAGGACCCCAGGAUCACGCCCUGAGCCAAGGGCCGACACUUAACCAACAGAGACCCCCGAUCGCCCCCAGGAUGAACAUUUAAAUAAAUAUGAAUGUAAAGGACGACACAGUAACGGUGCUUCAUGAAUCAUGUUCUUCUAAAUCCUUUAAUUAUCUGAGACAGUCAUGGGUUUGGAUUCAAUUUUGAUCAGAAAGCAUUUUAAGGGGCAGCCCAGGUG